This 393-nucleotide ribosomal RNA is filed under the name uncultured bacterium. RNAcentral's name for it is "partial 16S ribosomal RNA". It matches the Rfam family "Bacterial small subunit ribosomal RNA", at positions 523 to 918 of the family's 1533-position model. The record is from RNAcentral.
CUACGGAAGGUCCGGGCGUUAUCCGGAUUUAUUGGGUUUAAAGGGUGCGUAGGCGGGAAGUCAAGUCUGUGGUGAAAAGUCCGGCCUAACCUGGAUCGUGCCAUGGAAACUGUCUUUCUUGAAUAGUGGUGCCGUUGGCGGAAUGUGAAGUGUAGCGGUGAAAUGCUUAGAUAUUACACAGAACACCGAUUGCGAAAGCAGCUGACGAACCACCGAUUGACGCUGAUGCACGAAAGUGCGGGUAUCGAACAGGAUUAGAUACCCUGGUAGUCCGCACAGUAAACGAUGACAACUGGCUGUUGGCGAUAAACCGAUCAGUAGCGUAGCGAAAGCGUUAAGUUGUCCACCUGGGGAGUACGACCGCAAGGUUGAAACUCAAAUGAAUUGACGGGG